GACAUCACAAUUCCUAAUUCUAGUUCUUUCAGUCCUAGUAUAUUGACCAAUUUAGAGUUAUAUCAUAUUAAGAAGGUCAGAAUUAGACUAUCAGAAGAACCUUAAAAUUUGAAACAUUUGAGGUCGAACUAGUAGACAUUCUCACACAGUCUAAUGUAUCAUUGUAGUAUCUGCCAAGUGUUGAGUGCUAUUUGGAGAUUCACCUUUUGAUUCUUGUCAGAGAUAUAUAGAAUUGGCGAAUAGACAUGUCCGCGUUUAAAGCUUUGUAUAUAUUUAAGGAGUGAGUGUUAGAGCUACGUAGAUUUCGUGUUAGAUUACUCGAUCUAGUACUUAUGAGUGAGUUAAGACGUCAACAUUAUAUGUUGAUAAUUUUAUAAAGUAGGAUAAGACUUCUGAUCGAC
Molecule: long non-coding RNA, 401 nt
Filed under: Daucus carota (carrot)
Lineage: Eukaryota; Viridiplantae; Streptophyta; Magnoliopsida; Apiales; Apiaceae
Description: long non-coding RNA (DCAR_LNC006775)
Source: RNAcentral